CCCGGGAAACUCAGAGUCAACAGCUGCGCUCUGAUUGGCUCAUUCAAACGUUCAAACCAGAAACCAAUCAAAGCCAAUCAAUAGGCACAGCAAACCAUGAGAGAAGUUUUCUCUCACAACUUCAGUUUGUUUUUCGACUUGAAUUGUACAUCUUAUACGUUAUGUUAAAGGAGGAAGUACUCUGAAGGGAUUUAUCUUGGUCUGAUUUUUUUCUUUUACAUUUCCAAAACCUGGCCUUUUAAUAGGGGUGUGUAGACUUUCUUUGCUAAAUACUGAAGUAAAAACUUAAGUAAUCCAACUCUUAUAAACAACUCUUAUCAACACAUUAAACCUUAAUAUUUAAGUCACUAAUCCAAUCCCUUAAGACUACCCUGGAGGUGUAUCUAAAGUCCCUCAAACUGUACCCAUUGGCCAUUUUUACGGAGCCUUUAUAAAAGACCCAAUAAAUGGUGAAAGGAUUGUUGGUAGAAAUAGCAAGACUGAAUUUAUACACCGACACAAACAUAAAGGUAUUUUUAAUAUUUUUCAAUGGAAGAAAAUGUUUGAUGAGUCAAGUAAAAAACUUAAGGGUCUAAUUUCUCUCUGGUUUUCCUAUUUACAGCAACAGAAAGCACAAGUCGUUCUCCCUGACUGAGGAGCUCCUGAGUAAAAAUGCCCAGCUUUCGGAGAAGAACGAAGAACUCUGCAGGGAGGUGGAGGAGAAACUGCGGAGAAUCCAGAUGUUGGAACUCCGAAACCUCCAUCUCCACUGCAGGGUUCUGACGGAAGCUGGAGCGAAGCAGGAGCUCCUCAGGGAGAACGAAGAGCUGCGGGAACAACUGGAGAGAGAGAAACAAUGGAGGGAGCGUUUCCUGGGAGAAAGAGAACGGCGGGAAUCCCAGUAAGAUCUGGGAGGAGAUCUCGCAGGAUCAAAAGAGAUCUGAGGCAGCCUCCAAGGACCUCUAAGACCUUCAAGUAGCUCCUCCUCCUAUUCCUCCUCCUCCCCUCCCCCUCCGGGACCCAUUCUCUGUCUCCACCACAUCCUGGCAACACCAAAAAGCCUCUGAGAACCAGGCAAAAAGUGCACCCUAUUUUUUCCAUGACUUUUGGAGGUUCUGUACAGGAUCAUGGACCCAACUUCCAGAGGGUUUGUAGGCCCUAGGAGACCCUCCCUCAUUCUUCUGCUGCUGGAUAACUUGUAAGAAGGUUCAAAGAAGAAAGAACUGAAGGACUGAAGAGGAAUGCUUUUGUAAAGUCGAUUUGAUCCUUUGAAAUUUAUUUUGUAAUGUAAAUAGAGAUCUGGAUUUGGAAUACCCCUCAAGAUCUUUUUUUAAUUCCUUCAAUUCUGCUAUUGGUUCCUGCUUUUUAAUAUGCCUCAGUGUUGAUUUUAAUUCUAAGAGAUUUGAGGGUUUUUUAGUUGUUAAUUCUUGGGGGCAUAAACUGUCAGUAUUUUAAUUUUUCUUGUUCUCUUUAAUGCUUUUGGCCUGUGACCGUAAUAAAUGUUGAGUUGAGUUGAA
Molecule: long non-coding RNA, 1496 nt
Organism: Pantherophis guttatus
Lineage: Eukaryota; Metazoa; Chordata; Lepidosauria; Squamata; Colubridae
Source: RefSeq, a predicted model, not a curated record